RNAcentral lists this ribosomal RNA (406 nucleotides) under uncultured bacterium. RNAcentral describes it as "partial 16S ribosomal RNA". It matches the Rfam family "Bacterial small subunit ribosomal RNA", at positions 28 to 526 of the family's 1533-position model. The record is from RNAcentral.
GAUGAACGCUAGCUACAGGCUUAACACAUGCAAGUCGAGGGACCGGCGCACGGGUGAGUAACACGUAUCCAACCUUCCCUUUACUCGGGGAUAGCCUUUCGAAAGAAAGAUUAAUACCCGAUGUAAAGGAUGGGGAUGCGUUACAUUAGGUUGUUGGUGAGGUAACGGCUCACCAAGCCUUCGAUGGAUAGGGGUUCUGAGUGGAAGGUCCACCACAUUGGAACUGAGACACGGUCCAAACUCCUACGGGAGGCAGCAGUGAAGAAUAUUGGUCAAUGAGCGUUAGCCUGAACCAGUCAAGUAGCGUGAAGGAUGAAGGCUUAUGGGUCGUAAACUUCUUUUAUAUAAGAAUCUGUAUUAUCUGAAUAAGGAUCGGCUAACUCCGUGCCAGCAGCCGCGGUAAUUC